UACGUAGGUGGCAAGCGUUGUCCGGAAUUACUGGGCGUAAAGCGAGUGUAGGCGGUUUGGUAAGUCGGAUGUGAAAGCCCCGGGCUCAACCCGGGAAGUGCACUCGAUACUGCCAAGCUAGAGUAUCGGAGAGGUUGGUGGAAUUCUCGGUGUAGAGGUGAAAUUCGUAGAUAUCGAGAGGAACACCGGUGGCGAAGGCGGCCAACUGGACGAAUACUGACGCUGAGACUCGAAAGCGUGGGGAGCAAACAGG
RNAcentral lists this ribosomal RNA (253 nucleotides) under uncultured bacterium. RNAcentral describes it as "partial 16S ribosomal RNA". It matches the Rfam family "Bacterial small subunit ribosomal RNA", at positions 524 to 776 of the family's 1533-position model. The record is from RNAcentral.